This is a transfer RNA of Camelus ferus (Wild Bactrian camel), 72 nucleotides long. It matches the Rfam family "tRNA". Rfam says of the family: Transfer RNA (tRNA) molecules are approximately 80 nucleotides in length. Their secondary structure includes four short double-helical elements and three loops (D, anti-codon, and T loops). The record is from Rfam. NCBI's taxonomy places the organism in Eukaryota, Metazoa, Chordata, Mammalia, Artiodactyla, Camelidae.
GAGGGUAUAGCUCAGUGGCAGAGCGCAUGCUUAGCAUGCAUGAGGUCCUGGGUUCAAGCUGCAGUACCUCCA